AGUGGAUGGGGAGCAACCUAGUUGUGCGUGUGUAAAGGUAGUGCCAAGAAAAGCGAUGAUCAUGUUGAAAAUCAAUUCCCGGUACCCGAAACCGACACAGGUGGGCAAGUAGAGAAUACUAAGGGGCGCGAGGUAACUCUCUCCAAGGAACUCGGCAAAAUGACCCCGUAACUUAGGGAGAAGGGGUGCCACCGAGAGGUGGUCGCAGUGAAGAGGCCCAGGCGACUGUUUAGCAAAAACAUAGGUCUCUGCAAACUCGAAAGAGGAGGUAUAGGGGCUGACGCCUGCCCAGUGCCGGAAGGUUAAAGAAGUUGGUCAGUUUUAGGAUGAAGCUAGCGACUGAAGCCCCGGUGAACGGCGGCCGUAACUAUAACGGUCCUAGGUAGCGAAAUUCCUUGUCGGGUAAGUUCCGACCCGCACGAAAGGCAUAACGAUCUGGGCGCUGUCUCGGAGAGAGGCUCGGCGAAAUAGGAUUGUCUGUGAAGAUACGGACUACCUGCAUUUGGACAGAAAGACCCUAUGAAGCUUUACUAUAGCUUGGAAUUGUGUUCGGGCUUCCUGUGCGCAGGAUAGGUGGGAGGCGAAGAAGGUAUUCUUGUGGGGAUACUGGAGCCAACGGUGAGAUACCACUCUCAGGAGGCUAGAAUUCUAACUUAAUUAAGGACAGUUUCAGGUGGGUAGUUUGACUGGGGCGGUCGCCUCCAAAAAGGUAACGGAGGCGUACAAAGGUUCCCUCAGACUGGUUGGAAAUCAGUCGCAGAGUGCAAAGGCAGAAGGGAGCUUGACUGCGAGAAGUACAGUUCGAGCAGGGUGGAAACACGGUCUUAGUGAUCCGACGGUGCUGUGUGGAAGGGCCGUCGCUCAACGGAUAAAAGUUACUCUAAGGAUAACAGGCUGAUCUCCCCCAAGAGUUCACAUCGACGGGGAGGUUUGGCACCUCGAUGUCGGCUCAUCGCAACCUGGGGCGGAAGUACGUCCCAAGGGUUGGGCUGUUCGCCCAUUAAAGCGGUACGUGAGCUGGGUUCAGAACGUCGUGAGACAGUUCGGUCCAUAUCCGAUGUAGGCGUGAGAAUAUUGAGAGGAGCCUUCCUUAGUACGAGAGGACCGGGAAGGACGCACCGCUGGUGUACCUGUUAUGAUGCCAAUUGUAAACGCAGGGUAGCCAAGUGCGGAGAGGAUAACCGCUGAAAGCAUCUAAGUGGGAAGCCCACCUCAAGAUGAGUAUUCUGGUGUAAGGUCACGGGAAGACGACCCGUAAAUAGGCACGAGGUGGAAGUGCAGAGAUGUAUGAAGCCGAAGUGUACUAAUAGACCGUCGGCUUGAC
This 1324-nucleotide ribosomal RNA is filed under the name metagenome. RNAcentral describes it as "bacterial LSU rRNA". It matches the Rfam family "Bacterial large subunit ribosomal RNA", at positions 1561 to 2925 of the family's 2925-position model. The record is from RNAcentral.